GAUGAAGAACGUAGCGAAAUGCGAUAAGUAAUGUGAAUUGCAGAAUUCAGUGAAUCAUCGAAACUUUGAACGCACAUUGCGCCCGCCAGUAUUCUGGCGGGCAUGCCUGUCUGAGCGUCAUUUCAACCCUCAUGCCCCUAGGGCGUGGUGUUGGGGAUCGGCCAAAGCCCGCGAGGGACGGCCGGCCCCUAAAUCUAGUGGCGGACCCGUCGUGGCCUCCUCUGCGAAGUAGUGAUAUUCCGCAUCGGAGAGCGAUGAGCCCCUGCCGUUAAACCCCCAACUUUCCAAGGUUGACCUCAGAUCAGGUAGGAAUACCCGCUGAACUUAAGCAUAUCAAUAAGCGGAGGA
Molecule: unclassified non-coding RNA, 348 nt
Filed under: soil metagenome
Description: partial contains 5.8S ribosomal RNA, internal transcribed spacer 2, and large subunit ribosomal RNA
Rfam family: 5.8S ribosomal RNA (bases 1-120)
Source: RNAcentral